This 67-nucleotide small nucleolar RNA is filed under the name Lates calcarifer (barramundi perch). RNAcentral's name for it is "Small nucleolar RNA SNORD98 (ENSLCAG00010004349.1)". The record is from RNAcentral. Lineage: Eukaryota; Metazoa; Chordata; Actinopteri; Centropomidae.
GACAAUGAUGUUAUGAUCCUAUUCCAUUGCUGAACACUCACAAUGUUGAAAAGUCCUGACUGACGUC